RNAcentral lists this ribosomal RNA (520 nucleotides) under uncultured Glomus. Its description in RNAcentral is "SSU rRNA". It matches the Rfam family "Eukaryotic small subunit ribosomal RNA", at positions 569 to 1092 of the family's 1831-position model. The record is from RNAcentral. Lineage: Eukaryota; Fungi; Glomeromycota; Glomeromycetes; Glomerales; Glomeraceae.
AGCAGCCGCGGUAAUUCCAGCUCCAAUAGCGUAUAUUAAAGUUGUUGCAGUUAAAAAGCUCGUAGUUGAAUUUCGGGACCAAUUUGUUGGUCGUGCCUCGGUACGUACUGGUAUUAUUGGUUUCUCCCUUCUGAAGAACCUCGAUGCCAUUAAUUUGGUGUCGUGGGGAAUCAGGACUGUUACUUUGAAAAAUUAGAGUGUUUAAAGCAAGCAUACGCUUGAAUACAUUAGCAUGGAAUAAUGAAAUAGGACGUUUGAUUCUAUUUUGUUGGUUUCUAGGAUCGACGUAAUGAUUAAUAGGGAUAGUUGGGGGCAUUAGUAUUCAAUUGUCAGAGGUGAAAUUCUUGGAUUUAUUGAAGACUAACUACUGCGAAAGCAUUUGCCAAGGAUGUUUUCAUUAAUCAAGAACGAAAGUUAGGGGAUCGAAGACGAUCAGAUACCGUCGUAGUCUUAACCAUAAACUAUGCCGACUAGGGAUCGGAUGAUGUUAAUUUUUAAUGUACUCAUUCGGCGCCUUACG